This 158-nucleotide ribosomal RNA is filed under the name Trichoderma hamatum. RNAcentral describes it as "5.8S ribosomal RNA". It matches the Rfam family "5.8S ribosomal RNA". From Rfam's summary of the family: 5.8S ribosomal RNA (5.8S rRNA) is a component of the large subunit of the eukaryotic ribosome. It is transcribed by RNA polymerase I as part of the 45S precursor that also contains 18S and 28S rRNA. Functionally, it is thought that 5.8S rRNA may be involved in ribosome translocation. The record is from RNAcentral. Lineage: Eukaryota; Fungi; Ascomycota; Sordariomycetes; Hypocreales; Hypocreaceae.
AAACUUUCAACAACGGGUCUCUUGGUUCUGGCAUCGAUGAAGAACGCAGCGAAAUGCGAUAAGUAAUGUGAAUUGCAGAAUUCAGUGAAUCAUCGAAUCUUUGAACGCACAUUGCGCCCGCCAGUAUUCUGGCGGGCAUGCCUGUCCGAGCGUCAUUU